GCCUGGGUGGCUCAGUCGGUUGAGCGUCUGACUUCGGCUCAGGUCAUGAUCUCGCGGUCCGUGGGUUCGAGCCCCGCAUCAGGCU
This 85-nucleotide transfer RNA is filed under the name Felis catus (domestic cat). It matches the Rfam family "tRNA". From Rfam's summary of the family: Transfer RNA (tRNA) molecules are approximately 80 nucleotides in length. Their secondary structure includes four short double-helical elements and three loops (D, anti-codon, and T loops). The record is from Rfam by way of RNAcentral. Lineage: Eukaryota; Metazoa; Chordata; Mammalia; Carnivora; Felidae.